GUACACACCGCCCGUCACACCAUGGGAGUUGGUCUUUACCCGAAGACGGUGCGCUAACCGCAAGGAGGCAGCCGGCCACGGUAAGGUCAGCGACUGGGGUGAAGUCGUAACAAGGUUUCCGUAGGUGAACCUGCAGAAGGAUCA
Molecule: ribosomal RNA, 144 nt
Filed under: uncultured eukaryote
Lineage: Eukaryota
Description: partial small subunit ribosomal RNA
Rfam family: Bacterial small subunit ribosomal RNA
Source: RNAcentral